Molecule: long non-coding RNA, 1098 nt
Organism: Clupea harengus (Atlantic herring)
Lineage: Eukaryota; Metazoa; Chordata; Actinopteri; Clupeiformes; Clupeidae
Source: Ensembl
UCCUGCUGUGGUGUCUCUAGGGCCCUACGUGACUAUAGGCCAUGUCCCCUAACCGCUGAAACUAGGACUUAAGUGACUAUAGGCCAUGUCCCCUAACCUUUCAAACUAGGGCCUUAAGUGACUAUAGGCCAUGUAUGUCCCCUAACUGCUCAAACUAGGGCUUUAAGUGUGUGAGCUUUUGCAUUCUGGAUCAGUUGGAGGUUCUACAGGUGUUACAGAGUAGGGUACUACAGUAGAAAAGCAGGCAUGGAUAUAGCCAUGGCAACCAGGCAUGGAUACAGCCAUGGCAACCAGGCAUGUAUACAGCCAUGGCAACCAGGCAUGUAUAGAGCCAUGGCAACCAGGCAUGUAUAGAGCCAUGGCAACCAGGCAUGUAUACAGCCAUGGCAACCAGGCCUGUAUAGAGCCAUGGCAACCAGGCAUGUAUACAGCCAUGUCAACCAGGCAAGUCUCUGUAGUAGAAUAUGAUGAUCUAUAGCAGGGGUGGCUAACCAGUCCAGCUCAAAGAACCACAACAAAACCCAACACCAUUUCGAAGAGCCACACUGUUACCAGACCAUCAAUGGCAUGGAAUAGUUCAACAUAACACAAGGGGCGAAUCUAGGUUCCCACUUUUUGGGGGGUGGCGGGCUAAGCCUCUAGAUAAAACCUAUUAUUUUUCCUGUGACCCAGCAAGACUAGGGGGGUCUGGGGGCAUGCUCCCCCGUAAGACAUUUUUGAAAAUAACCUUUUAAAUAGUGUCCUCUAGUGGGUUUUAGGAAGAGAGAUCAAAUUUAGAUUUAAAAUAUGGCACAACAAUAAACAUAUUGAAGACAUCUGCUGAGAUAGGUGCUAAUUAUACUGUAGCAUGGUAGCGAUUUGCAGCUCGAGUGAAUAGGUUAACGUUGUAGGCUAGAGUUCACUAGCUAGUUAUAGCUGGCAAAGCUACUGAGUAGGGUAGCAUACCCACAGGAUCAAUGAACCGGCAUGAUAAAAGAGAGCCACGACAUCUAUAAUUAACUCGAGAUGAUUUAACCAUUUAGUUUCUUUUACUAUUUUAAACUUCAUGUGCUAUACCUUUAUAUCCGGCAGCUGAUUAUGGCAGCUUUCACCAGCUUG